This 672-nucleotide ribosomal RNA is filed under the name Bifidobacterium breve. RNAcentral describes it as "bacterial SSU rRNA". It matches the Rfam family "Bacterial small subunit ribosomal RNA", at positions 57 to 735 of the family's 1533-position model. Lineage: Bacteria; Bacillati; Actinomycetota; Actinomycetes; Bifidobacteriales; Bifidobacteriaceae. The record is from RNAcentral.
GCAAGUCGAACGGGAUCCAUCGGGCUUUGCUUGGUGGUGAGAGUGGCGAACGGGUGAGUAAUGCGUGACCGACCUGCCCCAUGCACCGGAAUAGCUCCUGGAAACGGGUGGUAAUGCCGGAUGCUCCAUCACACCGCAUGGUGUGUUGGGAAAGCCUUUGCGGCAUGGGAUGGGGUCGCGUCCUAUCAGCUUGAUGGCGGGGUAACGGCCCACCAUGGCUUCGACGGGUAGCCGGCCUGAGAGGGCGACCGGCCACAUUGGGACUGAGAUACGGCCCAGACUCCUACGGGAGGCAGCAGUGGGGAAUAUUGCACAAUGGGCGCAAGCCUGAUGCAGCGACGCCGCGUGAGGGAUGGAGGCCUUCGGGUUGUAAACCUCUUUUGUUAGGGAGCAAGGCACUUUGUGUUGAGUGUACCUUUCGAAUAAGCACCGGCUAACUACGUGCCAGCAGCCGCGGUAAUACGUAGGGUGCAAGCGUUAUCCGGAAUUAUUGGGCGUAAAGGGCUCGUAGGCGGUUCGUCGCGUCCGGUGUGAAAGUCCAUCGCUUAACGGUGGAUCCGCGCCGGGUACGGGCGGGCUUGAGUGCGGUAGGGGAGACUGGAAUUCCCGGUGUAACGGUGGAAUGUGUAGAUAUCGGGAAGAACACCAAUGGCGAAGGCAGGUCUCUGGGCC